UACAGAGGGGGCAAGCGUUGUUCGGAAUUACUGGGCGUAAAGGGCGCGUAGGCGGCCUCUUAAGUCGAACGUGAAAUCCCCGGGCUCAACCCGGGAACUGCGUCCGAUACUGGGGGGCUAGAGUGCGGAAGAGGCGAGUGGAAUUCCUGGUGUAGCGGUGAAAUGCGCAGAUAUCAGGAAGAACACCAAUGGCGAAGGCAGCUCUCUGGGACGGUACUGACGCUGAGACGCGAAAGCGUGGGGAGCGAACAGG
Molecule: ribosomal RNA, 253 nt
Filed under: uncultured bacterium
Lineage: Bacteria
Description: partial 16S ribosomal RNA
Rfam family: Bacterial small subunit ribosomal RNA
Source: RNAcentral